GAUGAACGCUGGCGGCGUGCCUAAUACAUGCAAGUCGAGCGAACAGAUAAGGAGCUUGCUCCUUUGACGUUAGCGGCGGACGGGUGAGUAACGCGUGGGUAACCUACCUAUAAGACUGGGAUAACUUCGGGAAACCGGAGCUAAUACCGGAUAACAUUUGGAACCGCAUGGUUCCAAAGUGAAAGAUGGUUUUGCUAUCACUUAUAGAUGGACCCGCGCCGUAUUAGCUAGUUGGUAAGGUAACGGCUUACCAAGGCGACGAUACGUAGCCGACCUGAGAGGGUGAUCGGCCACACUGGAACUGAGACACGGUCCAGACUCCUACGGGAGGCAGCAGUAGGGAAUCUUCCGCAAUGGGCGAAAGCCUGACGGAGCAACGCCGCGUGAGUGAUGAAGGGUUUCGGCUCGUAAAACUCUGUUAUUAGGGAAGAACAAAUGUGUAAGUAACUGUGCACGUCUUGACGGUACCUAAUCAGAAAGCCACGGCUAACUACGUG
RNAcentral lists this ribosomal RNA (497 nucleotides) under uncultured bacterium. Its description in RNAcentral is "partial 16S ribosomal RNA". It matches the Rfam family "Bacterial small subunit ribosomal RNA", at positions 28 to 507 of the family's 1533-position model. The record is from RNAcentral.